UCCCUGGAGGACUAGUGGUUAGGCCCCUGGGGUCUCACUGCCGUGGCCUGGGUUUGAUUCCUGGCCAGGGAA
Molecule: non-coding RNA, 72 nt
Organism: Pangasius djambal
Lineage: Eukaryota; Metazoa; Chordata; Actinopteri; Siluriformes; Pangasiidae
Source: the annotation of a GenBank genome assembly